RNAcentral lists this ribosomal RNA (398 nucleotides) under uncultured Cellvibrio sp. RNAcentral describes it as "bacterial SSU rRNA". It matches the Rfam family "Bacterial small subunit ribosomal RNA", at positions 1 to 402 of the family's 1533-position model. Lineage: Bacteria; Pseudomonadati; Pseudomonadota; Gammaproteobacteria; Cellvibrionales; Cellvibrionaceae. The record is from RNAcentral.
ACUGGAGUUUGAUCCUGGCUCAGAUUGAACGCUGGCGGCAGGCCGUAACGACAUGCAAGUCGAGCGGUUGAGGUAGCUUGCUACCGAUGCAGCGGCGGACGGGUGAGUAAUACAUGGGAAUCUGCCUGGUAGUGGGGGACAACGUUUCGAAAGGAACGCUAAUACCGCAUACGCCCUACGGGGGAAAGGGGGGUAUCUUCGGACCUCUCGCUAUCAGAUGAGCCCAUGUCGGAUUAGCUUGUUGGUGAGGUAAAGGCUCACCAAGGCGACGAUCCGUAACUGGUCUGAGAGGAUGAUCAGUCACACUGGAACUGAGACACGGUCCAGACUCGUACGGGAGGCAGCAGUGGGGUAAUAUUGGACAAUGGGGCGCAAGCCUGAUCCCAGCCAUGCCGCGU